AGUGAACGCUGGCGGUAGGCCUAACACAUGCAAGUCGAACGGCAGCACAGUAAGAGCUUGCUCUUACGGGUGGCGAGUGGCGGACGGGUGAGGAAUACAUCGGAAUCUACUUUUUCGUGGGGGAUAACGUAGGGAAACUUACGCUAAUACCGCAUACGACCUACGGGUGAAAGCAGGGGAUCUUCGGACCUUGCGCGAUUGAAUGAGCCGAUGUCGGAUUAGCUAGUUGGCGGGGUAAAGGCCCACCAAGGCGACGAUCCGUAGCUGGUCUGAGAGGAUGAUCAGCCACACUGGAACUGAGACACGGUCCAGACUCCUACGGGAGGCAGCAGUGGGGAAUAUUGGACAAAGGGCGCAAGCCUGAUCCAGCCAUACCGCGUGGGUGAAGAAGGCCUUCGGGUUGUAAAGCCCUGUUGUUGGGAAAGAAAAGCAGCAGGUUAAUACCCCGCUGUUCUGACGGUACCCAAAGAAUAAGCACCGGCUAACUUCGUG
This 492-nucleotide ribosomal RNA is filed under the name uncultured bacterium. RNAcentral's name for it is "partial 16S ribosomal RNA". It matches the Rfam family "Bacterial small subunit ribosomal RNA", at positions 29 to 507 of the family's 1533-position model. The record is from RNAcentral.